AUACUUAACUGGCAGGGGAGAUACCAUGAUCACGAAGGUGGUUUUCCCACCCAGGGAGAGGCUCAUCCACUGCACUCCGGAUAUGAUGACCUCUGCGAUUUCCCCAAAUGUGGGAAACUCGACUGCAUAGUUUGUGGUAGUGGAAAACUGCGUUCCUGCUUUCCCCUU
Kogia breviceps (pygmy sperm whale) is the source of this 168-nucleotide small nuclear RNA. RefSeq annotates it as U1 spliceosomal RNA. The record is from RefSeq and is a predicted model, not a curated record. The transcript has a single exon. Lineage: Eukaryota; Metazoa; Chordata; Mammalia; Artiodactyla; Physeteridae.